RNAcentral lists this ribosomal RNA (472 nucleotides) under uncultured Glomus. Its description in RNAcentral is "SSU rRNA". It matches the Rfam family "Eukaryotic small subunit ribosomal RNA", at positions 569 to 1045 of the family's 1831-position model. The record is from RNAcentral. Lineage: Eukaryota; Fungi; Glomeromycota; Glomeromycetes; Glomerales; Glomeraceae.
AGCAGCCGCGGUAAUUCCAGCUCCAAUAGCGUAUAUUAAAGUUGUUGCAGUUAAAAAGCUCGUAGUUGAAUUUCGGGAUCAAUUUGCUGGUCGUGCCUUCGGUACGCACUGGUAUUAUUGGUUUCUCCUUUCUGAUGAAUCGCGAUGUCAUUAAUUUGGUGUCGUGGGGAAUCAGGACUGUUACUUUGAAAAAAUUAGAGUGUUUAAAGCAGGCUCACGCUUGAAUACAUUAGCGUGGAAUAAUGAAAUAGGACGUUUGAUUCUAUUUUGUUGGUUUCUAGGAUCGACGUAAUGAUUAAUAGGGAUAGUUGGGGGCAUUAGUAUUCAAUUGUCAGAGGUGAAAUUCUUGGAUUUAUUGAAGACUAACUACUGCGAAAGCAUUUGCCAAGGAUGUUUUCAUUAAUCAAGAACGAAAGUUAGGGGAUCGAAGACGAUCAGAUACCGUCGUAGUCUUAACCAUAAACUAUGCCGA